This 445-nucleotide ribosomal RNA is filed under the name uncultured bacterium. RNAcentral describes it as "SSU rRNA". It matches the Rfam family "Bacterial small subunit ribosomal RNA", at positions 26 to 518 of the family's 1533-position model. The record is from RNAcentral.
AGAACGAACGCUGGCGGCAUGCCUAACACAUGCAAGUCGAACGAGACCUUCGGGUCUAGUGGCGCACGGGUGCGUAACGCGUGGGAAUCUGCCCUUGGGUGCGGAAUAACAGUUGGAAACGACUGCUAAUACCGCAUAAUGACUCCGGUCCAAAGAUUUAUCGCCCAGGGAUGAGCCCGCGUAGGAUUAGCUAGUUGGUGAGGUAAAAGCUCACCAAGGCGACGAUCCUUAGCCGGUCUGAGAGGAUGAUCAGCCACACUGGGACUGAGACACGGCCCAGACUCCUACGGGAGGCAGCAGUGGGGAAUAUUGGACAAUGGGCGAAAGCCUGAUCCAGCAAUGCCGCGUGAGUGAUGAAGGCCUUAGGGUUGUAAAGCUCUUUUACCCGGGAUGAUAAUGACAGUACCGGGAGAAUAAGCCCGGCUAACUCCGUGCCAGCAGCCGC